Molecule: long non-coding RNA, 946 nt
Filed under: Danio rerio (zebrafish)
Lineage: Eukaryota; Metazoa; Chordata; Actinopteri; Cypriniformes; Danionidae
Description: lncRNA (ENSDARG00000117711.1)
Source: RNAcentral
AUGUCCCAGCAGCCACUGACUCUUCUUCAACUGGAUCUCAAACAUCCACUCCUUCAACAUCUCAUACCAGUACAGGCUCGUCAACUACUUCUCAAACAACAGCCUAUUCAAGCACUGACACGACAGACUACACUUCAACUGACUCUCAAACAUCAACUCCAACAUCAACAUCCCAUACCAUUACAAGUUCUCAUACAACUCAAUCAACAGGACCUACAUCCACUGAAACAACAGACUCUUCAACCCAAACAUCAGGCUCAACCCAAACAUCAGGUUCAACCCAAACAUCAGGCUCAACUCAAACAUCAGGCUCAACCCAAACAUCAAGCUCAACCCAAACAUCAGGCUCAACUCAAACAUCAGGCUCAACCCAAACAUCAAGCUCAACCCAAACAUCAAGCUCAACCCAAACAUCAGGCUCAACCCAAACAUCAGGCUCAAUUCAAACAUCAGGUUCAGCUCAAACAUCAGGCUCAACUCAAACAUCAGGUUCAACUCAAACAUCAGGCUCAACUCAAACAUCAGGCUCAACUCAAACAUCAGGCUCAACUCAAACAUCAGGUUCAACUCAAACAUCAGUGUCUUCGAGUAAGUGUUUAUAUCAAUGUAUUACAUAAAAUUACCAUUAGAUACCUGGAACUUAAAGAAAUCGGAUGGAUAGAUGAAUGGAUGGAUGGAUGGAUGGAUGGAUGGAUGGAUUCUGAUACUGUUUCUGUUAUCAUAUGAAGAAAUUUUUAGAAACUUGCGAUUCUAUGUCUUUAAUUUUCAAAUUUCCCAGCAGCCACUGCCACAACAUACACUCCUCCAAUGCCAUCAUCUGCUUCUUCAAGUGAGUAUUUUUAUUUUCUGAAUAUUGUGUGACCAUUUUAAUUGUACAUUUAUUUAUUUAUUUAUUUAUUUAUUUAUUUAGGUUUUAAUGCCAUAUCAGCAGCAUUGGCUAUAUUCA